GACGGAGGGGGCAAGCGUUGUCCGGACUCACUGGGCGUAAAGGGUGCGUAGGCGGUUUGGUGCGUCGGCGCUGAAAUCUCGAGGCUCAACCUCGAGGCGCGUGCCGAUACGACCAGACUUGAGGCUCUGAGAGGGUGGCGGAACUCCUGGUGUAGUGGUGAAAUGCGUAGAUAUUGGGAGGAACACCAGUGGCGAAGGCGGCUCACUGGACCGGAACUGACGCUGAGGCGCGAAAGCGUGGGGAGCAAACAGG
RNAcentral lists this ribosomal RNA (253 nucleotides) under uncultured bacterium. Its description in RNAcentral is "partial 16S ribosomal RNA". It matches the Rfam family "Bacterial small subunit ribosomal RNA", at positions 524 to 776 of the family's 1533-position model. The record is from RNAcentral.